GACGAACGCUGGCGGCGUGCUUAACACAUGCAAGUCGAACGGAAAGGCCCUUCUUUUGUGGGGUGCUCGAGUGGCGAACGGGUGAUUAACACGUGCGUAACCUUCCCUUGACUUUGGGAUAACUUCAGGAAACUGGGGCUAAUACCGGAUAGGAGCUCCUGCUGCAUGGUGGGGGUUGGAAAGUUUCGGCGGUUGGGGAUGGACUCGCGGCUUAUCAGCUUGUUGGUGGGGUAGUGGCUUACCAAGGCUUUGACGGGUAGCCGGCCUGAGAGGGUGACCGGCCACAUUGGGACUGAGAUACGGCCCAGACUCCUACGGGAGGCAGCAGUGGGGAAUAUUGCACAAUGGGCGGAAGCCUGAUGCAGCAACGCCGCGUGCGGGAUGACGGCCUUCGGGUUGUAAACCGCUUUCGCCUGUGACGAAGCGUGAGUGACGGUAAUGGGUAAAGAAGCACCGGCUAACUACGUG
Molecule: ribosomal RNA, 468 nt
Filed under: uncultured bacterium
Lineage: Bacteria
Description: partial 16S ribosomal RNA
Rfam family: Bacterial small subunit ribosomal RNA
Source: RNAcentral